This 829-nucleotide ribosomal RNA is filed under the name uncultured bacterium. RNAcentral's name for it is "bacterial SSU rRNA". It matches the Rfam family "Bacterial small subunit ribosomal RNA", at positions 22 to 842 of the family's 1533-position model. The record is from RNAcentral.
GCUCAGAAUGAACGCUGGCGGCGUGCCUAACACAUGCAAGUCGGAUGUGCCCGCAAGGGUGCAUGGCAGACGGGUGAGUAACGCGUGGGGAACCUACCUCUUUGUGGGGAAUAACGUUCCGAAAGGAAUGGUAAUACCGCAUGAGACCGUUGGCUGGGAUGCUGACGGUGAAACCCGGGGACCGCAAGGCCUGGGGCAAGGAGAGGGUCCUGCGUCUGAUUAGCUAGUUGGCGGGGUAACGGCCCACCAAGGCGUCGAUCAGUAGCCGGCCUGAGAGGGUGAUCGGCCACACUGGAACUGAGACACGGUCCAGACUCCUACGGGAGGCAGCAGUGGGGAAUUUUGCGCAAUGGGCGAAAGCCUGACGCAGCAACGCCGCGUGGGUGAUGAAGGUCUUCGGAUCGUAAAACCCUGUCGUCAGGGACGAAGGUUGCAUGUCUAAUAGAUGUGUAACUUGACGGUACCUGGAGAGGAAGCCCCGGCUAACUCUGUGCCAGCAGCCGCGGUAAUACAGAGGGGGCAAGCGUUAUUCGGAAUUAUUGGGCGUAAAGGGCGCGUAGGCGGUGUCUUAAGUGAGAUGUGUAAUCCCCGAGCUUAACUUGGGAACUGCAUCUCAGAUUGGGGCGCUAGAGUGCUGGAGAGGGUGGUAGAAUUCCACGUGUAGCGGUGAAAUGUGUAGAGAUGUGGAGGAAUACCAGUGGCGAAGGCGGCCACCUGGACAGUAACUGACGUUGAGGCGUGAAAGUGUGGGGAGCAAACAGGAUUAGAUACCCUGGUAGUCCACGCUGUAAACGAUGAACACUUGGUGUGGUGGGAGUUGACCCCCGCC